Molecule: non-coding RNA, 191 nt
Filed under: Mycoplasma sp.
Lineage: Bacteria; Bacillati; Mycoplasmatota; Mollicutes; Mycoplasmatales; Mycoplasmataceae
Description: T-box sequence
Rfam family: T-box leader
About the family: Uncharged tRNA acts as the effector for transcription antitermination of genes in the T-box leader family. T-boxes are found upstream of many aminoacyl-tRNA synthetase genes and some amino acid biosynthetic genes usually in Gram-positive bacteria.
Source: RNAcentral
AUAUUUUCGUUGAUUGAUAAAUCAGUAGAAAUUAAUUAUUUACGAAGAGAUUUAGUGGUUGGUGGGAACUAAAAAAUGAUUAAUUUUGAAUUACACUAUCAGGAGAAAAACGUUAGUCGCGUUAAGAUAGAAGAGUGCAUAGAUUUUUAUCUAUGAAUUAAGGUGGUACCACGAGUCAAUUCGUCCUUAUG